Molecule: ribosomal RNA, 520 nt
Filed under: uncultured bacterium
Lineage: Bacteria
Description: bacterial SSU rRNA
Rfam family: Bacterial small subunit ribosomal RNA
Source: RNAcentral
GGGAACAUACCCUUUUCUACGGAAUAGCUCUGGGAAACUGGAAUUAAUACCGUAUACGCCCUACGGGGGAAAGAUUUAUCGGGGAAGGAUUGGCCCGCGUUGGAUCAGCUAGUUGGUGGGGUAAAGGCCUACCAAGGCGACGAUCCAUAGCUGGUCUGAGAGGAUGAUCAGCCACAUUGGGACUGAGACACGGCCCAAACUCCUACGGGAGGCAGCAGUGGGGAAUAUUGGACAAUGGGCGCAAGCCUGAUCCAGCCAUGCCGCGUGAGUGAUGAAGGCCUUAGGGUUGUAAAGCUCUUUCACCGAUGAAGAUAAUGACGGUAGUCGGAGAAGAAGCCCCGGCUAACUUCGUGCCAGCAGCCGCGGUAAUACGAAGGGGGCUAGCGUUGUUCGGAAUUACUGGGCGUAAAGCGCACGUAGGCGGAUAUUUAAGUCAGGGGUGAAAUCCCAGAGCUCAACUCUGGAACUGCCUUUGAUACUGGGUAUCUUGAGUAUGGAAGAGGUAAGUGGAAUUGCGAGU